Molecule: non-coding RNA, 214 nt
Organism: Pelobates cultripes (western spadefoot toad)
Lineage: Eukaryota; Metazoa; Chordata; Amphibia; Anura; Pelobatidae
Source: the annotation of a GenBank genome assembly
CCCUGACCAGUGAAUCCGCACCCGAGCUAAAACAUGUUAAUAUUCUACCAGGUUGCAGCUAUUCUCCGAUCUGUCGCGGAGUUCCAAGUUUGUGGCUGGUUAGUCCCAGUCUCACAAAAUGGGGUUCCUGAGGCUCUGAGGAGAACAGUACCCCCAUACGUUAAAUAUCCAAAUUUCCUCACUGUCGAAAUAGUGCCUUGAUCGGUGGUCAUGG